CUCCGGGUGGUCUCGAAACUGAAAGCACCCCACUCAUCAGCAUCGCAAUAUCAUGAAGAUGCUGCGGAGUGUCAGAAGGGCCUUUGCACCUGUGCUCAGCACCGCAAGAAAACACAUACAGAUUGUC
This 127-nucleotide non-coding RNA is filed under the name Chromera velia. The record is from RNAcentral. Lineage: Eukaryota; Chromeraceae.